AAAUUGAAGAGUUUGAUCAUGGCUCAGAUUGAACGCUGGCGGCAGGCCUAACACAUGCAAGUCGAACGGUAACAGGAAGAAGCUUGCUUCUUUGCUGACGAGUGGCGGACGGGUGAGUAAUGUCUGGGAAACUGCCUGAUGGAGGGGGAUAACUACUGGAAACGGUAGCUAAUACCGCAUAACGUCGCAAGACCAAAGAGGGGGACCUUCUGGCCUCUUGCCAUCGGAUGUGCCCAGAUGGGAUUAGCUAGUAGGUGGGGUAACGGCUCACCUAGGCGACGAUCCCUAGCUGGUCUGAGAGGAUGACCAGCCACACUGGAACUGAGACACGGUCCAGACUCCUACGGGAGGCAGCAGUGGGGAAUAUUGCACAAUGGGCGCAAGCCUGAUGCAGCCAUGCCGCGUGUAUGAAGAAGGCCUUCGGGUUGUAAAGUACUUUCAGCGGGGAGGAAGGGAGUAAAGUUAAUACCUUUGCUCAUUGACGUUACCCGCAGAAGAAGCACCGGCUAACUCCGUGCCAGCAGCCGCGGUAAUACGGAGGGUGCAAGCGUUAAUCGGAAUUACUGGGCGUAAAGCGCACGCAGGCGGUUUGUUAAGUCAG
Molecule: ribosomal RNA, 601 nt
Filed under: Escherichia coli
Lineage: Bacteria; Pseudomonadati; Pseudomonadota; Gammaproteobacteria; Enterobacterales; Enterobacteriaceae
Description: bacterial SSU rRNA
Rfam family: Bacterial small subunit ribosomal RNA
Source: RNAcentral